This 497-nucleotide ribosomal RNA is filed under the name uncultured bacterium. RNAcentral's name for it is "partial 16S ribosomal RNA". It matches the Rfam family "Bacterial small subunit ribosomal RNA", at positions 28 to 507 of the family's 1533-position model. The record is from RNAcentral.
GAUGAACGCUGGCGGCGUGCCUAAUACAUGCAAGUCGAGCGAACGGACGAGAAGCUUGCUUCUCUGAUGUUAGCGGCGGACGGGUGAGUAACACGUGGAUAACCUACCUAUAAGACUGGGAUAACUUCGGGAAACCGGAGCUAAUACCGGAUAAUAUUUUGAACCGCAUGGUUCAAAAGUGAAAGACGGUCUUGCUGUCACUUAUAGAUGGAUCCGCGCCGCAUUAGCUAGUUGGUAAGGUAACGGCUUACCAAGGCAACGAUGCAUAGCCGACCUGAGAGGGUGAUCGGCCACACUGGAACUGAGACACGGUCCAGACUCCUACGGGAGGCAGCAGUAGGAAAUCUUCCGCAAUGGGCGAAAGCCUGACGGAGCAACGCCGCGUGAGUGAUGAAGGUCUUCGGAUCGUAAAACUCUGUUAUUAGGGAAGAACAUAUGUGUAAGUAACUGUGCACAUCUUGACGGUACCUAAUCAGAAAGCCACGGCUAACUACGUG